GCCUGGGACAAGCAGGCCUCCCGCGCCAGCAAAGGGCCUAUUAUACAGGAGGGCCACGCCCUGCACAUUCAUACCUAACCUGAUUUUUAAAAGAACUGUUUUUUUCUCCCCCAGUUUAAUUAUUUUCCACAGCUCAGCAACCAGUUGGGCUGCUUCUUUCUGACGCAUUUUCUUCCCAUCAAGAAAGUGGGGAGCCUCACUCCCCACCGGUGGGCAGGCUUUGCUGAGCUGGGGGACCCCGGGGGCCAAAGGAACACUGGGGACCCCCACCCUUUGCCAGGACAUGCCACCCAGUCACUUCUGGAUUGCGACCCACAGCCAUGGUCCUGGGAAGCCAACGCCUCCAUCCCACUAAGGACUUUGCGUCUUGCAGGCUGGGCUGGACGGACAGAGGAGAAGGUAGGUGAGGCUGGGGUGGCAGGUUCUCGGCUGUGUGUAGGUAAGUGGGCUUCCCUUCCUUCCCCUUGAAUCCAGGUCAAGCUCUGGAAGCCCCGCCCUUCGGCUCACCAGGCUGAACAGCUCAUCCUUUGCAAUAACAGCCCCUGGGAACAAGAGCAGAGACAGCUCAGUUCCCAAAGCAGCCAGAGCUUUGAAAGGUGUGGGUGGCAUUACGGGUGGAGAGCGCUGGCUCGGCGAUGCGGAUUCCCUCUUACCUGACGGUGUCUCCGUUCUCAGGCCCCACAGGAGCCCCUUCCUGUUUGAACUCAUUGCAGGUGGAGCGCCUCCACCACCCAUCGCUGUGGCCUGGUGACACCUGAGUCCAUCACCAAUCACUUUCAGAUGGAAGAAGAAAUGCCUUAAAAGGAAGAAACUCCUCCUGCUUCCUCGGAAUCUCAGCGUUGGGAGGGAGCAGCCAGUAUGUCCACCCAGUGCUUCUAAGCAAGACUACAUCUAGAAAUGCCCUUGAAAAGACUUGCACCGAAGGAGAUUUCACAACCCGCCUCAGCCAUCCAUUUCAAGCUUUAGGACUAUUUGCUGCAGAAAGUUCUUUGAGUCUAACUGAAAUACUUUAUAAAUGAUGGAAUUGGAGCUGAGGAACUGGGCCUCUGGCCUUGCAAAGGACAAAACGGGGGCAGUGUUAUGCCACGGGGAGGGCGCUGGUCCCAUCGUAGUGCUUACAGGGUUCUUUUGACUUCUUGGCAUCUCUGUCCUUCAGGCGUGUCUCUAGUUAUACAACAGCAAGAAGGCUGUGGUGGUUCAAAACUUUAUAGCAAUAAUAACAUUGGUGAAGUCUGAUUUCCUCAUUUCUGCUAUCCUAAUACUAGAAACGAUCCUGAAAUUGGAGAGAUUUAUAUUACACAUUAAGAACUCUCUGGACUGAGAAGCCCUGUUCCUGCUAUCAUAAAUUCCCUUCUUGGAGGAACUUUAAAAACAGGACUGAUUUCUUCCUUCCUAGAAUGUUUCAGGCACUUACCUGGGUAGGUGAUGGAAGGAAAAGGCACAUUUCCAGUGGGCCAUGGUCCCAGGCCUGGGGUGCAGAGAAAAUAAAACACUGUCCCCACCCUCUAGGGCUCUUGGCCCACAGGCUUCCUCAGGGUUCAAGCAGCAGUCCUCUUACUCCUACUCCCAGGACUGCCCUUUGCUCCUUCCAAGCACUCUGCCCCCUGAAAAGAAACUGGGUCUUAACUGUAGCUCCCAAGUAAGCAGAAGCCAGGUGGGGUCCCCAGGGGAAAGUGGUCAGGUCUGGAUCUGGUGGGAGAACCCUGACCUAGGACACCUUCAUAAUGGGGGGUCCACAGGGGGAUCUGCCAUCCCCAAGUCCCCAGGCUUGGCCCCUUCCCAGCAUUUGUGUAGGACUCUGGGAAAAUGCCCAGUGGAUCAGGCUGACUUCCCUCCGCAGCUCCCAUCAACACCCAUAAAGGAGGGUGUGAUGGUUCGCUUUAUGUGUCAACCCAGCUAAGCUAUAAAACCCAGUUAUUUAAUCAAACGCUAAUCUAGGUGUUGCUGCGAAGGCAUUUUGUAGACAUGCUUAAUAGCCACAGUCAGUUGACUUUAAGAGAAGAUUAUCCUCUAUAAUGUGGUUGGGCCUCGUUGACUCAGUUGAAAGUCCUUAACAGCAAAAACUGAGGUUUGCUGGAGAACUCUGCCUGGAAACCGUACCGUCGGCUGUGGCCUGAGUUUCCGACUUGCCACUUGCUCUCCAGAUUUUCGACUUACCAGCCCCCACAAUGGCAUGAGCCAAGCCUUUGAAAUAAACCGGUUUACAUAAAUAUCUAUCCUACUGCUUCUGUUUCCCUGUGAAACCCUGACCGAUUCCUGCCACAGCCCCGGUCUGGAUUCCCUGGGGCUUCGACAGCCUUCCUCAGGGAGAGGCCCUGCCGCAAGGGCCUGUGGGAAUUGCUCUGUGGGUGCAGCCUGUCCGGUGAGAGUAGCAGGUUGGGGAGUUUGGGCAAAGGAGCCCUGGGACUACCUUGGCGUGUGACUUGAGGCAAGUUACUUCAUCUCUGGGAGCCAGUUUCCUUACCUGUAAAAUGAGGCCAGUCAUUGCUCCCCGGCAAGACUGUUGAGUGAUUAAGGAGGUGAAAUGUGAAAAUGCCCGGGCAAUGCGCAGCUCACAAGAACCGCUCGGGAGGUUUUUGCUUAAUGUAGCUCUUCAGGGAGACCUGAGCAGGGCUUUCCUCGCUGGGGGAGGGCUGGGGAAGGGCUUCUGACGGGCUUCCUUCCCUCCGGGUGCUGGGUGACCUACCCGUCUGUGCCUGGCUCUCCUUCUGCCAUCUCCCAGGUACCUUCCAGCUCUGAGACUCUAUAAUUAUAGGGUUGCAUCCUAAAAUACAGAGAAGGCACUGAAAAUACUUACAGACUUGGAAAACAGAACCAGAGAGGAAAGGGUGAAAGGCACUGGGAUUAUUUAGCCUGGAGAAGGGGUGGCUUAAUGACACCCUUCUGAGCCUAGGGAGGUUCUUUGGACGUAGGCGCUGGCCAGCUUCUCUCCGCCCCUCCAGAGGACCAAACAAGAGGGAACAGUAGCUAACAGCACAGCUAGAGGGCUUGAAGGUAGACAGCAGGUGUCUGUCUUGCCUGCAAUAGCAUCUACUCCUUUAGAGGCCUUAGGAGGGAUUGGCAGAGCGGCCUUGUGAUAGGAAAUGGAUUGGGUAACCUCUGGAUUUCCAUCCUGUUUUUGAAUUGUAGAAACUAAUUUCCUCAGAGUAAAUAGGAAGAAAGGGAAAAAAAAACAGAGCAGACUGAACAGGUGUGACAGGGCUGGUCCAGCAGCACUCAUGACCCUGCCCUGGGCUGCACUGACUGUCUUCCUGGAGGUCCCGAGGC
Long non-coding RNA from Manis pentadactyla (Chinese pangolin), 3267 nucleotides. RefSeq lists it as uncharacterized. The transcript is spliced from 3 exons. The record is from RefSeq and is a predicted model, not a curated record. Lineage: Eukaryota; Metazoa; Chordata; Mammalia; Pholidota; Manidae.